Molecule: ribosomal RNA, 453 nt
Filed under: uncultured bacterium
Lineage: Bacteria
Description: bacterial SSU rRNA
Rfam family: Bacterial small subunit ribosomal RNA
Source: RNAcentral
AACGAACGCUGGCGGCAGGCCUAACACAUGCAAGUCGAGCGCCCCGCAAGGGGAGCGGCGGACGGGUUAGUAACGCGUGGGAAUGUACCCUUUUCUACGGAAUAGCCUCGGGAAACUGAGAUUAAUACCGUAUACGCCCGGUAACGGGGAAAGGAUUUAUCGGAGAAGGAUCAGCCCGCGUAAGAUUAGGUAGUUGGUGGGGUAAGUGGCCUACCAAGCCUACGAUCCAUAGCUGGUUUGAGAGGAUGAUCAGCAACACUGGGACUGAGACACGGCCCAGACUCCUACGGGAGGCAGCAGUGGGGGAAUCUUAGACAAUGGGGGAAACCCUGAUCUAGCCAUGCCGCGUGAGUGAUGAAGGCCUUAGGGUCGUAAAGCUCUUUCGCUGGGGAAGAUAAUGACUGUACCCAGUAAAGAAACCCCGGCUAACUCCGUGCCAGCAGCCGCGGUAAA